GAAACUUCUAGAAGCUGGAACUGGGCUAUUCAAAUGAGGAUGUCUGGCUUUCCUGGGGAAGUUGGGAGAGAGCCCUCCCUCUGGAUCCAAUGACCACAACUCUGACAUUCCACCACUGCAAGAUUCUUCUGUCGGGGGAUGCAGAGACAUGCUCCCCAGCUCACAUCCUCCCCCAACACUGCCACGUCAAACCGUAAAUUCUUUUUCAGGCCGUGGGUGUGGUGAAGGAAUGGCUACUAUACAUUUGAAACUAACUUUUAUCAUUUUACUGAGCUUUUUUUUUCUGAAUAAUGCUAUGGUAAUCAAUCAUUUUUGUUUUGUUGAGCUUACUCUUUUGCAUAUUCACUUUUUCUUUACGCAACUUUUACUUUUUUCAUCAAAUGAAUUUUGCAUACCCCCUACCCCAUUACCUGUUCUCUGAACCCUAAUGAUGCACACCCAAUAAUGCGGCUGGAUUAAAACAUAAAUUCCUGAAAAGGCAUACGAUCCACUUUAAAAAGUAAUUUUCUUUCUUUCUUUCUUUCUUUCUUUCUUUGUGUAAAUAAGUUAAAGUAAUCCAUGCAGUGAGUCAUUAAAGAUAAAAAAGCUCUCAAAUUGC
Ctenopharyngodon idella (grass carp) is the source of this 598-nucleotide long non-coding RNA. RefSeq lists it as uncharacterized. The transcript is spliced from 2 exons. Lineage: Eukaryota; Metazoa; Chordata; Actinopteri; Cypriniformes; Xenocyprididae. The record is from RefSeq and is a predicted model, not a curated record.